GGGCCUAUAGCUCAGCGGUAGAGCCACCGGCUCAUAACCGGUUAGUCCCAGGUUCGAAUCCUGGUAGGCCCA
Molecule: transfer RNA, 72 nt
Filed under: Candidatus Aminicenantota bacterium
Lineage: Bacteria; Candidatus Aminicenantota
Also listed under: 2 other names
Description: Candidatus Aminicenantes bacterium tRNA-Ile
Rfam family: tRNA
About the family: Transfer RNA (tRNA) molecules are approximately 80 nucleotides in length.
Source: RNAcentral